CUCUGCCUGAGGAGGAUAGAAUUCUUUUUGGGCUUGUUUCAGGUUAGCCAGGAUUUUGUUUGACAAUAGAUGAAUCGAUCCGAAUUUUUAUAGUAAACAGAGGUGGAUCCGAUGAAAAGUGUAAAAAGAAUACGUUUUUGUAGUACCUUUUGUAUCAGGGCUUUAGGAAUAAGGUUUUUAUCAAGUAUUCCCGAAUAGUAAAGAUCUUCCAAGGCUAGAGUUUAAAGUUGAAUUUUUAUCUUUAAAGCCUUGAAAGGGGUGAUAAAUAAGUCGGUUUACUCUAUAUCUGGUUGCCCAUGAUACAGUACAAUUGGAUCGGCUAUCUGGUGAAUUAGCUUCUUACUCUAUGAUAGCCGGUAAUUCUUGUAGGGAUAAGCUUAUGAGAGUAAGAAGCUUUAUCAUAAUUAAGAACUAUUUUAUAUUCAUUAUUAAGUUAAUUUCAUUCAAUUUAUCUAACAACUUUAUGUUUAGUGGGCUAUCGACUGCAAUAUUGGAGGUCGAAUAAUAAUCUAAUGAUUAGUAAUUUGUGUAAAUAUGGCUAAUGAACUAGGCAAUAGCUAACCCGCCUGUUUACUAAAAACAUGUCCUCUAGAAAUACAAUUGGAGGUCGUGCCUGCUCAGUGCUUUAUGUUAACAGCCGCAGUAACUCUGACUGUGCAAAGGUAGCAUAAUAAAUUGGCUUUUAAUUGAAGUCUGGAAUAAAUGGUUUGACGAGGUUAGUUCUGUAUCAGCUAUACUAUAGAUGAACUUUAUCUGUGAGUAAAAAAGCUUACAUGUUUUGGAGGGACGAGAAGACCCUUUAGAUCUUUUAAGACACCUCGUUUAACUAUAAGCCUGGUGUUCUUUUUGCUUGGGACGAGGCUUAUAAUAAUUAAAACUAUAGUUAGAGAAAAGGCAAAUAGGCCGAUUUUAGAUUACGAUUUUGAUCAAUUAAAAGAAAAAGUUACCUAAGGGAUAACAGGAUAAUGAUUUUAUGGAGUACUUAUUUGUAAAAUCGAUUAUCACCUCGAUGUUGAAUUAAAUUCUCACCACAUAUGCAGAAGUAGUGGCUGUUAGUCUGUUCGACUAUUAAAAUUUUACAUGAUUUGAGUUUAGACCGACGGGAGUCAGGUCAGAUUCUAUCUUCCAUUUAAAAGUUUCUCUUUCAGUACGAAAGGACAAAAGAGAAGUAACUUCUUUA
Molecule: ribosomal RNA, 1180 nt
Filed under: Ibidoecus plataleae
Lineage: Eukaryota; Metazoa; Arthropoda; Insecta; Psocodea; Philopteridae
Description: 16S ribosomal RNA
Rfam family: Archaeal large subunit ribosomal RNA (bases 325-1180)
Source: RNAcentral